This 87-nucleotide transfer RNA is filed under the name Methylophaga muralis. RNAcentral describes it as "tRNA-Ser". It matches the Rfam family "tRNA". Rfam says of the family: Transfer RNA (tRNA) molecules are approximately 80 nucleotides in length. Their secondary structure includes four short double-helical elements and three loops (D, anti-codon, and T loops). Lineage: Bacteria; Pseudomonadati; Pseudomonadota; Gammaproteobacteria; Thiotrichales; Piscirickettsiaceae. RNAcentral also lists the same sequence under 5 other names. The record is from RNAcentral.
GCCCAGGUGGCGGAAUUGGUAGACGCGCUAGCUUCAGGUGCUAGUGUACGUAUGUACGUGGGAGUUCGAGUCUCCCCCUGGGCACCA